AAAGUGCUUAGUAGGCACGUCAGAAUGAUUUUAGGUGAUGACAAGCUCACUGCUACCGUACAGAUGUUAUUUCCCUUGUACGGUGCUUGAGUCACUGAAGUAUCGGUGACGCCACUCGAUUGUUAGCAUGUAAUAAAGCUUAGAAUUGUUAUGGACAGAAGCCAAUCUCUUUGUUAUGAGGGCUGUUUAUGUCCAGGUCUUGUAUGCUAUUAUAAUACUUAUGGCUUGUGCUAUGGAUGGUAUAAUCUGUGCUCCAAACUAUACAGUAAAUAUUUUUGCGGG
Molecule: small RNA, 282 nt
Filed under: Oryza sativa Japonica Group (Japanese rice)
Lineage: Eukaryota; Viridiplantae; Streptophyta; Magnoliopsida; Poales; Poaceae
Description: misc RNA R-CPD3L
Source: RNAcentral